RNAcentral lists this ribosomal RNA (481 nucleotides) under uncultured bacterium. Its description in RNAcentral is "partial 16S ribosomal RNA". It matches the Rfam family "Bacterial small subunit ribosomal RNA", at positions 28 to 507 of the family's 1533-position model. The record is from RNAcentral.
GAUGAACGCUGGCGGCGUGCCUAACACAUGCAAGUCGAACGGAGAUUACGGACGGAAGUUUUCGGAUGGAAGACUGUAAUUCUUAGUGGCGGACGGGUGAGUAACGCGUGGGCAACCUGCCCUAUACAGGGGGAUAGCAGCUGGAAACGGCUGGUAAGACCGCAUAAGUCGGCGAGACCGCAUGGUUUUGCCGGGAAAUGAGCAAUCAGGUAUAGGAUGGGCCCGCGUCCGAUUAGCCAGUUGGCAGGGUAAAAGCCUACCAAAGCAACGAUCGGUAGCCGGGCUGAGAGGUCGGACGGCCACAUUGGGACUGAGACACGGCCCAAACUCCUACGGGAGGCAGCAGUGGGGGAUAUUGCACAAUGGAGGAAGCUCUGAUGCAGCGACGCCGCGUGAGUGAGGAAGUAUUUCGGUAUGUAAAGCUCUAUCAGCAGGGAAGAUGAUGACGGUACCUGACGAAGAAGCCCCGGCUAACUACGUG